UAAUAAGUGUUUUAUGGCACUUUUUAAAUCCAUAUCCACCUUGUGUGCAAUGUCAGUCGAUCAUUCUUUUAUGGAGAUCGACCAAACAUCAACCUUUAUCUUUUAACUCUUUGUCUGAAAAAUAUUAUGAAUAAACAAUUCAAAAUA
RNAcentral lists this unclassified non-coding RNA (147 nucleotides) under soil metagenome. RNAcentral's name for it is "partial internal transcribed spacer 1". The record is from RNAcentral.